UAAGGAAUAUUGGACAAUGGCCGCAAGGCUGAUCCAGCCAUCCAGCGUGCAGGAAGAAGGCCCUAUGGGUUGUAAACUGCUUUUAUCAGGGAAUAAACCUCUGGAUUCACUCCGGAGCUGAAGGUACCUGAAGAAUAAGCACCGGCUAACUCCGUGCCAGCAGCCGCGGUAAUACGGAGGGUGCGAGCGUUAUCCGGAAUUACUGGGUUUAAAGGGUGCGUAGGCGGCUUUGUAAGUCAGGAGUGAAAGUUUGCGGCUCAACCGUAAAAUUGCUUCUGAUACUGCAUGGCUAGAAUUAGGAUGAGGUCAGCGGAAUGUGGCAUGUAGCGGUGAAAUGCAUAGAUAUGCCAUAGAACACCAAUUGCGAAGGCAGCUGGCUAGACCUGGAUUGACGCUGAGGCACGAAAGCGUGGGGAGCGAACAGGAUUAGAUACCCUGGUAGUCCACGCCCUAAACGAUGCUUACUCGACGUAG
RNAcentral lists this ribosomal RNA (474 nucleotides) under uncultured Bacteroidota bacterium. RNAcentral's name for it is "bacterial SSU rRNA". It matches the Rfam family "Bacterial small subunit ribosomal RNA", at positions 355 to 825 of the family's 1533-position model. The record is from RNAcentral. Lineage: Bacteria; Pseudomonadati; Bacteroidota.